AAAUAAGACUAUAUGUCAUGUGUAGUAUUGAGUAUAAGAACUAGAACCGCAACCGGUUCCCAAAAGCAAAAGUAGUGUUUCCUUGU
RNAcentral lists this small RNA (86 nucleotides) under Arabidopsis thaliana (thale cress). RNAcentral's name for it is "ATSL197760". Lineage: Eukaryota; Viridiplantae; Streptophyta; Magnoliopsida; Brassicales; Brassicaceae. The record is from RNAcentral.